Molecule: non-coding RNA, 114 nt
Organism: Cercophora newfieldiana
Lineage: Eukaryota; Fungi; Ascomycota; Sordariomycetes; Sordariales; Lasiosphaeriaceae
Source: the annotation of a GenBank genome assembly
UCCCCCGUGGCGCAACUGGCUAGCGCGUCAGACUGUUAUCUCUUUUCUUCUCUUCAAGAGAAAUAAGACGAAAAAGACAUCUGGAGGUUCUCAGUUCAAUCCUGAGCGGGGGAG